CUUGUAAACAUAAGAGGUCCAGCCUGCCCAGUGAUUCAUUCAACGGCCGCGGUAUCCUAACCGUGCAAAGGUAGCGUAAUCACUUGUUUUCCAAAUAAAGACCAGUAUGAAAGGCAUCACGAGAACUAAACUGUCUCCUUUCUCUAAUCAGUGAACCUAAUCUCCCCGUGAAGAAGCGGGGAUCCUGCUAUAAGACGAGAAGACCCUGUGGAGCUUAAAACAUUACAACAAUGCCCCCUCCCCCUCCAACCACCCUGAUGGCCCUUCCCCCACCGGCACCCUGAUUACAUGUUUUUGGUUGGGGUGACCGCGGAGAAAAACCCAUCCUCCGUAAUGAAAGGGAUUUCCCCCCUAAGCAACAAGCUACAACUUUACACAUCAAAAAAUUGACAUCUUUGACCCAAUAAAUUGAUUGACGAAC
This 421-nucleotide ribosomal RNA is filed under the name Pristimantis sp. Guiana ABGD cluster 263. Its description in RNAcentral is "partial large subunit ribosomal RNA". It matches the Rfam family "Bacterial large subunit ribosomal RNA", at positions 1836 to 2439 of the family's 2925-position model. The record is from RNAcentral. Lineage: Eukaryota; Metazoa; Chordata; Amphibia; Anura; Strabomantidae.